This 2535-nucleotide long non-coding RNA is filed under the name Orbicella faveolata. Its description in RNAcentral is "uncharacterized LOC110054310". The record is from RNAcentral. Lineage: Eukaryota; Metazoa; Cnidaria; Anthozoa; Scleractinia; Merulinidae.
ACUAUGUAGUGGUUGUUGUUAGCUGCAGGUUACCACAUCGGAUUCUGAUUUUCAGAGUGGUCCAGAGUUAAUGCUGGCUAGGCUCAUUGUGUUGUGUUGUAGUGCAAGGUACUCUCACUCCGUAUUUGCUUCUCUUUACCCGAGUACCAACAAAUUUUCAGAGAAUCCUGACAAGAUGCUGUGUCGUCAGCUGCAGUAAACUGGUAAUAUUGAUGCUCCAGUCCGUUCAUGCUAUGAAUACCAGAGUUAAGCAGUUGCAUAAUAAGCAGUCUACUUGUAGCCUUCUAGUCACACAUAAAAAAAAACGUCACUUAUUAAAUAGUGGUCAGUGAAUGGCUGUGAGCUUGAUCUCUCAAUGGCCAGGUCAGAGUAAUGAGAUGUCAGUUUGAUGUUCAUGAGGAGCUCAAAGGCUGGCCUUUGCAUUCAUGGGAACUGUGAUGACAUCAGUCGUAACUCUGUAAAAGGAAUGUAUCAUUUGAUAAAUUGCAGAAGCCAUCUUCAGAAGACAGUGCAGAUAAUAGCAGUGAUCAAACACAGAAGUGGGCUGUGGCAAAUUCUAACUGUGCAGAUGCCAAAACAAGCCUUGAAUUCCUUUGCAAAGACUUGUCAUCUGAGCUAGCACACUUUGACUGGAGAAAAGAAGUAGAAUUACGUGAAAUAUUGACUGAAUACUCAGCACUCAGAUCGGAACACUUUGAAAAGGUCCAGAGUAAAUGGUUUGGUGUCAAACUCAUGGUGGAAGCACCAAUAGCUGCAGAGGUGCGAGCAAUCAAGUGUAUGGAGGAGUCCUGAUGAAAGAAAAUGUAAAAUGAUAAAACCCAACUGACUUGUCUGGCAUCCAGAUUGAUCUGAGUCCUCUUCACAAGUUCCAUAAUGGCAGAAGGGAAUAAAUAAUAAUAAUAAUAAUUAUUAUAAAAAUUAUAAUUGUAAUAAUAUAUGCAGUGCUCUUUUAUCUAAAAUAAUUAUAAAUGUAAGUGUAAAAAAGCCCAAAUGCAAUAGAAUAGCUAGCUAGGAACAGACAUUUAUUAUGUUAAGUAAUGGUAGAGUGUUAAAGCAAACCAAACUUCAAAUGAAAUGACCUUGUUUUUAGUUCUUCCUUCCCAAAUGGAGAAAAAUAAAAAUACUAGCCUGAGGUAAUUUCCUGUGUCUGAUCUUGCAGAAUAAGAACUUGCAAAUGAUUUUUAGCAUUUAAAUCAACUUCCAGAAUUCUUAGUUUGGUAAACUACUGUUGUUUUACAAUGCAGAGCCAUGCUUUGUCAAUAAACAUGGCUCUUGAAUAGAACAUAAUCUUCUUUGUUAUAACUGAUAAAAGUAAAAAAUAUUGUCAUGGUUUGUUAUGAUUUUUACUGUCAUAGGUUUUUAGACCUUUUCCAAGCAUUCAGUUAGCAGGGCUGUAGCUAGAAGAAACUUUUGACUGAGGUAAUGUCCAUGAAAACGUUCUGACUGAGGCAAUGUCCAAGGUUAAAUUCUCUUCCUUGGUAUUUAGGGUGUUUCUGAUGACUGUAAACAACAAAGAACAAAAUGACUGAGGCAAGUGCCUUGGUUUGCCUGAUACAAGCUACAGCCCUGGUUAGUUGGUUAACAUAGGCUGUAUGUUUUUAUCCUAACACAGCCCGUGUGUCCAUUCAUAGGGGUAAGGAGUGAGAGAGAAGCUAAAUACUCGGCAAGUUAGUUGUUGAUACAUGAAGUAGUUAAGAAAUUGGGAAUUAUUUGUACCUACACUGUACAGUUUCAAAUGAAUUAAAUGACCCGAAUUUAUAUUAAAUAAUAUAUUUACUAGUACUGGUAUUUUACAUAAUUUUAAUUAUUACACAUAAAAAUAAAUACAUGCUGCAGUUUUUCACAGUUCCAUUAAUUUAGUUUUUUAAUCCAUUGCUUGUUUUUAGAUAGUUUGAAGUACUUUAAAUUAGCUAUAAAACUUAAAACAAGAUAUCAUAGUUUAAUUUUUGUAGUAUGAAUUUAUAUUAAUUUUGUUAGAAAAUUAAUUGUACACUGCAUUGUACAAGUGUAAAUUCAUCAACUGUCUUUUUUUUGCAUUUCCCUGUACUUAGCAAGUCCAUCACCAAAUUAAUCUGGAAUGUAUUGAAUUCCAAGUCAUCCCAGGGCAGGAAAAAACCUAGGUUAGAUUGCCCGGGGCAAGUAAAUUUUGCUCUUGGGCAAGUGAAAAUGGAAGUUUAGUGGUCCGGUGGGCAAGUGAAAUUAACCUCAGUAGUCUUGUUAGUUGAUAAGGCAUAAACAUUGUGCACCUAUUGGGCAAAUAAUAUUUUAGUGGAGGCAACUUAAGACUGAAGUGAACUGGCCCACUGGAUUUCAAUUUUUUUUUUCCUGCCCUGCAUCUCAUGAUGAUAAUCAUAUCAACAAACAAGCAAUAAUUGCACGCUAAUUGCUUUUUUGCUGUGUGAUUGGCUGAGCAGUACAGAAAAUCAAGAGAGAGGUGGCAAAUAGUAAAUUUAUUUAUCAGCAUACCAUGUGGCGUAAAUAUCACCAUAGGCUCACAAAGUUUCAUAAUGAGAAAUAAAAGCCCACAAAACAUUA